CUCUGGUUUAACACUAUAUGUUGUAAUUUUAACAGCCAAACCUCCACAGCAUAAAGUAUCGGGAAUCCGGUGAGACUCCGGAACUGACGCGCAGCGGUAUUGGGGAACAAGCGUGGCAUCAAGACACUGGCGCAAGCCGGGAAGUCGCCACACGAGGCCGAAUCGAACGAUUCACGCCCCUGAGUCCGAAGACCUGCCAGGGAAACAA
RNAcentral lists this non-coding RNA (208 nucleotides) under Marinobacter sp. Lineage: Bacteria; Pseudomonadati; Pseudomonadota; Gammaproteobacteria; Pseudomonadales; Marinobacteraceae. The record is from RNAcentral.